Molecule: ribosomal RNA, 484 nt
Filed under: uncultured bacterium
Lineage: Bacteria
Description: partial 16S ribosomal RNA
Rfam family: Bacterial small subunit ribosomal RNA
Source: RNAcentral
GAUUAACGCUAGCGGCAGGCAUAAUACAUGCAAGUUGAACGGCAGCACAGGUAGCAAUACUGGGUGGCGAGUGGCGCACGGGUGCGUAACACGUAUGCAACCUACCCUAUACAGGCGAAUAACCUUUAGAAAUGAGGGCUAAUACGCCGUAGUAUUACAGAUGGGCAUCUAUUUGUAAUUAAAGAUUUAUCGGUAUAGGAUGGGCAUGCGUCCCAUUAGUUAGUUGGUAAGGUAACGGCUUACCAAGACGAUGAUGGGUAGGGGAUCUGAGAGGACUUACCCCCACACUGGUACUGAGACACGGACCAGACUCCUACGGGAGGCAGCAGUAAGGAAUAUUGGGCAAUGGCCGCGAGGCUGACCCAGCCAUGCCGCGUGCAGGAAGACGGCCUUAUGGGUUGUAAACUGCUUUUAUACGGGAAUAAUAGAGUGUACGCGUACAUUUAUGCAAGUAUCAUAUGAAUAAGCAUCGGCUAACUCCGUG